AGAAUCAGCCAACAGCAUCAACAGUAAUAAUAAUAGCUGGCCAUCGCUGAGCACUUUCUCAUGUAGGGUAAGCCACCAUGCUGAGUAUUUAAUGCACAUGAGCUGAUUUAAUCAGCUAUCAAUGCUAUGAGGGAGAUAGCUCUCAUCAUCCCCUCACACUGAUGAAGAAAAUGAGACACAGAGAAGUGAAGCUACUUGUCCAUAAUCAGACAGUUUCCAAGUAGUGGUUUGGGGCCAGUAUGUCUGCUCUUCAUCCUUGUACUAAAAUGCCUCCAGGCUAGAAAGUUCUGGAGAGCCAUCAAACAUUGCUCCUGCACAGGGGAAACAAAGUUGUCUGAGAAAAAAUUCAGGACAGAGGGAAGUGGAAAUGAGCAGGUCAGAUGUUCUUGUGACAUCACUGAGACUUGAAGCUGGCUCAGGUGUUCUUGUGACAUCACUGAGACUUGAAGCUGGCACCAUGGGUUUUUAAGAUGCAUGAGUCAAUGUACUGACUUUUUUGUUUAAGCCACUUUGAGUUAGGCUUUCUCUACCUUGUGAGCAUCUAAGUCUCUCUCAGAAGGGGUCUGGUCUGGAGGAGGAUGUGACAGUGGCUGCCGUAUCCACUGGUCCUCAGAUGGAGGUGGAGGGUGCCUGAACUGCGAUCCACAGUUGCCACAGAAUUUUAUCAGCAUGGGGAAAGCAAGCGUGCUUCUUGUAAGCUUACCGUUCACCCCACAGAGAGCUAGGGUCUGAAAUGCCCCAAAACGAACCCUCAAAAAUCUACCUGCCCUUAUCUCUAUGAUGUUUAACAUCACUGACCAAUAUCACCACCUGGAUUUGAGGGUCUAAAUCAUGAGUAGAAUCAGGAUGUGCCUUUCUGGCCAGAUGGCCCAGGGCAGGAUUGGGAAGCUGAUAAUGAGAAAGCUUUCGACUAGAUUAUCUUUCAGAUUCCCUGUGAUAACUCAGAUCCCAAAUCCCUUUGAUCCCCAAAUCUUGAGAGCUCUGUUUGCUCCACCUGAUUGCUUCCAUGAACUGUCCACUUUGGACUAAGACUUGUACUUCUUCCCAUCUUCUUGGAACACAAAAUUAAUUUUCUAUACCCAAUUUUCAACCAAAUUCCAUUUUCUAGCUUUCCGGCAACUUCCAUCCAGGUUAGUCAUUUAGCCUGUUGGUUUCAGGUCUCCUCUUUAAAAGAGAGAAAAAAAUGAUCCCCCAUGCUUCACAGGAGGAUUGUGAGAAUUAAUUAAUGUUUGUAAAGGGUUUUCCAUCCUGUAAUGUCUUUGAUAUCAGAGGAUGAAAGAGUGUGAGCGGUGGUGAUGAGGACCUGGUUCAGGAGGGAAAAAGAGAGAACAAUUCUCUGUUCGUUUUAGUGCUCAUCCAUGCUGUUCUGACGCUUAACAAACUCCUUUUAAGUUAUUCCAAGUUAAAUGGAUGCAUGUCAAUCCUAUUGCUUUGAUGAAGCCAUCCAAAUAAAAAUAAAAAUUCAAAACACUUUUGUACAAACCGAAUGUGGAGGUAGAAGUCUGUUUCUUGUCAACCAGAACCCUAACUGCUGCUGUAGCCCCUACCCUGUCAUCACUAGGAAGGUUGUGAACCAAUCUGCUCACCUGUAGGUCCUCCCCCAGACUGUGAACAUCCUUUCAAUUCUAAGGAAAGAAGAAGGACUCCCCCGCCUCCAAGAGCACGGAGUGGACAGGUUAUGAGCAAUGGAAAGAUAGUCGGUGUUGCGUCCACGUUUUGUGCAGAAAAAAAAAAAGCACAAGAACCAGAGCCUUCCUUAUUCUGGCUCUCCUGAAAGCCAGCUUUUGUGUGCACAUAUCUGCAUUUCCCCAGGGCAGGUGCCUAGGGGCUCAGCCACUGUGCGUCUUCUGAAUGCCCUAAGGAUGUCCACCAAUUAGGUUCCCAUCCUAGACUGCGGCCGGUGCCCCAUCGACCAGCCAGGCAACAGAUCUUCUGUGAUUGCCAGCCACGUUUUGUCGGGAAUUACGCCGCAUCUUUCCUGGGGCCCACGCAGGAGAAAAAUGAACGCUCAGAUGAUAGUCUCGCGCCCAACCCCGUGCCAGGAUUAAAGGCGGAGAACCCAGUCCUGCCCUCAAAACCGCAAACUCGAGCAGGCAGGAGAGGCCGUGGCCGGACCUUGCUGACGCAGGAGCAGAGUGCGGGCCUGGAGUCACGUGGGGGAGGCCGGUCACUCUCGUCCCCUCUCCUUGGAGAAAGCAAGUCAGGGGAGCAGCCUCGCUGUCAGUCUGCUGUUACCUCGCUCUGCAAGCUCUCUGAAGGCCUCCUGGUCACCCUGCCAGUGAAGGAGGGAUCCCGACCCAAAGCAGACGCACGGCGCUAACAGCAGACAGAGGAGACGGACGGCAGCUUCCAGCGGCCACACGCAUCACAGGCCAGCAGGAAGACCUGGCCAUGUGGGGCUCCUGGGGCGGCCCACGGGAGCAGCCAGCCAGCACGGGGUGAAGACUGUGAGGCUGAGGGCUGGGCGGGGGCAGCUGUCCAGCCAGGGGGCUAGCAUGUGGGGGCCUCCCUGCCGGGUGGUGGGCACACAUGUGUGCCAAGAGCAGGGAAGCCCAGAGCUGGGCCACUGCGGCCCAGAGAUGACAAGACAGCGCAGGAGUCUUUAGGUCUCCUGUCAUCGUGGCUUUUCGGCUAACCCCUGGAGGGUCAGCUGCCCUGGAGCUACGGUGACAGCCUUGCCCACCAGCCCGGUCUGGAAGGGGUCAUGGGUGAUAUCCCAAUGCUGGAGGGCCGGGAGGAACGUUUUCCCUCCCAGACACCUCCAGAGGCCACCCUGGGCCUGCCCAGGACACUGUUUUGCUCCAACGUUUAGAAUCCCCCCCUGACGGGACCUUUGGUUUUCUGGCAUUGCCCUGUGUUUAACCCUCUGGACUGGGUGGCCACAUGCAUUUCUCUAGAAUCCCUCUGUCCCCUACUGGCCGCCGUCCACCCUGUGUCAAAUCAACUCCCUGGGUCCCAGCUCAGGCAGCUCCCAUCCUCCCCAGCCCAGGGCUGGUGCUGCCUUCUUGCCCCACCCCUGCCUGGGCUUGUGGGCAGCUGUCCAGUGGAGUCCCUGCUCACCCCCCUCAGCUGGGGUCCCCGGGCUCCCCACCCGCACAGCCUGUCCUGAGUUUGUUCCCUCCCGGUGUGGCCAAGGAGCUCCGGACCAUAUGGGAACAGGGACCUGAGGACCCAUCCUGCUUGGACACAUUUGUCUUCAGUGACAGUAAGAUUCCUUCCUGCACAAGCCCGCACCACUGUGUG
Molecule: long non-coding RNA, 3243 nt
Organism: Acinonyx jubatus (cheetah)
Lineage: Eukaryota; Metazoa; Chordata; Mammalia; Carnivora; Felidae
Exons: 4
Source: RefSeq, a predicted model, not a curated record